RNAcentral lists this ribosomal RNA (223 nucleotides) under Duganella rivi. RNAcentral describes it as "partial 16S ribosomal RNA". It matches the Rfam family "Bacterial small subunit ribosomal RNA", at positions 1315 to 1533 of the family's 1533-position model. Lineage: Bacteria; Pseudomonadati; Pseudomonadota; Betaproteobacteria; Burkholderiales; Oxalobacteraceae. The record is from RNAcentral.
ACUACGUGAAGUUGGAAUCGCUAGUAAUCGCGGAUCAGCAUGUCGCGGUGAAUACGUUCCCGGGUCUUGUACACACCGCCCGUCACACCAUGGGAGCGGGUUUUACCAGAAGUAGGUAGCUUAACCGCAAGGAGGGCGCUUACCACGGUAGGAUUCGUGACUGGGGUGAAGUCGUAACAAGGUAGCCGUAUCGGAAGGUGCGGCUGGAUCACCUCCUUUCUAG